RNAcentral lists this ribosomal RNA (433 nucleotides) under uncultured bacterium. Its description in RNAcentral is "bacterial SSU rRNA". It matches the Rfam family "Bacterial small subunit ribosomal RNA", at positions 30 to 504 of the family's 1533-position model. The record is from RNAcentral.
UGAACGCUGGCGGUAUGCUUUACACAUGCAAGUCGUACGAGAGUUUUUAACUCAAGUGGCGGACGGGUGAGUAACACGUAAGAAUUUGCCUUUAGGAGGGGGAUAACAACUGGAAACGGUUGCUAAUACCCCAUAUGCUUUCGAGUGAAAUGGUUUUUCCGCCUAGAGAGAAGCUUGCGGCUGAUUAGCUUGUUGGGGAGGUAAUGGCUCACCAAGGCGACGAUCAGUAUCUGGUUUGAGAGGACGAUCAGACACACUGGAACUGAGACACGGUCCAGACUCCUACGGGAGGCAGCAGUGGGGAAUUUUCCGCAAUGGGCGAAAGCCUGACGGAGCAAUACCGCGUGAGGGAUGACGGCCUAUGGGUUGUAAACCUCUUUUUUCAGGGAGGAAUAAAUGACGUGUACCUGAGGAAUAAGCAUCGGCUAACUCC